GACGAACGCUGGCGGCGUGCUUAACACAUGCAAGUCGAACGCUGAAGCUCAGCUUUUGUUGGGUGGAUGAGUGGCGAACGGGUGAGUAACACGUGAGUAACCUGCCCUCUUCUUUGGGAUAACGCCCGGAAACGGGUGCUAAUACUGGAUAUUCACUUGCCUUCGCAUGGGGGUUGGUGGAAAGGUUUGUUCUGGUGGGGGAUGGGCUCGCGGCCUAUCAGCUUGUUGGUGGGGUGAUGGCCUACCAAGGCUUUGACGGGUAGCCGGCCUGAGAGGGUGACCGGUCACAUUGGGACUGAGAUACGGCCCAGACUCCUACGGGAGGCAGCAGUGGGGAAUAUUGCACAAUGGGCGCAAGCCUGAUGCAGCGACGCCGCGUGAGGGAUGGAGGCCUUCGGGUUGUAAACCUCUUUCGCUCAUGGUCAAGCCGCGACGUGGGUUGUGGUGAGGGUAGUGGGUAAAGAAGCGCCGGCUAACUACGUGCCAGCAGCCGCGGUAAUACGUAGGGCGCGAGCGUUGUCCGGAAUUAUUGGGCGUAAAGGGCUUGUAGGCGGUUGGUCGCGUCUGCCGUGAAAUUCUCUGGCUUAACUGGGGGCGUGCGGUGGGUACGGGCUGACUUGAGUGCGGUAGGGGAGACUGGAACUCCUGGUGUAGCGGUGGAAUGCGCAGAUAUCAGGGAAGAACACCGGGUGGCGAAGGCGGGUCUCUGGGCCGUUACUGACGCUGAGGAGCGAAAGCGUGGGGGAGCGAACAGG
RNAcentral lists this ribosomal RNA (755 nucleotides) under uncultured Actinomyces sp. RNAcentral's name for it is "bacterial SSU rRNA". It matches the Rfam family "Bacterial small subunit ribosomal RNA", at positions 28 to 776 of the family's 1533-position model. Lineage: Bacteria; Bacillati; Actinomycetota; Actinomycetes; Actinomycetales; Actinomycetaceae. The record is from RNAcentral.